Long non-coding RNA from Octopus sinensis (East Asian common octopus), 190 nucleotides. RefSeq lists it as uncharacterized. NCBI's taxonomy places the organism in Eukaryota, Metazoa, Mollusca, Cephalopoda, Octopoda, Octopodidae. The transcript has 3 exons. The record is from RefSeq and is a predicted model, not a curated record.
GGUGGUUAGGAGCAGGUUGGUUGAAUUUUUCCGAAACAUGGGCUUAAGCAUUGUUUUCGACGAUGAUAUAACUAAAGCCAACUUUUUGGAUAUUACCCUUAACUUACAUAAUGAUUCAUAUUUCCCAUACCAUAAACCCUCAACUAAUUUAAAAUAUAUUAGCUCUUUCAGUAAUCACCCAAAGGCUAUU